Molecule: transfer RNA, 73 nt
Filed under: Marmota marmota marmota (Alpine marmot)
Lineage: Eukaryota; Metazoa; Chordata; Mammalia; Rodentia; Sciuridae
Also listed under: 1 other name
Rfam family: tRNA
About the family: Transfer RNA (tRNA) molecules are approximately 80 nucleotides in length.
Source: Rfam by way of RNAcentral
UGGGAUGUAGCUCAGCUGGUAGAGUGCUUGCUUUGCAUGCACAAGGCCCUGGGCUCAAUCCCCAGUAUCACAC